CCCUUAGAUGUCCUGGGCCGCACGCGCGUUACACUGAUGCAUUCAACGAGCUUAUAACCUUGGCCGAGAGGCCUGGGCAAUCUUGUUAACGUGCAUCGUGAUAGGGAUAGAUUAUUGAAAUUAUUAAUCUUGAACGAGGAAUUCCUAGUAAACGCAGAUCAUCAAUCUGCAUUGAUUACGUCCCUGCCCUUUGUACACACCGCCCGUCGCACCUACCGAUUGAAUGGUCCGGUGAAGCCUCGGGAUUGUGGUUCUUGCCGCUUUAUUGUGGCGUGACCGCGAGAACUUGUCUAAACCUUAUCAUCUAGAGGAAGGUGAAGUCGUAACA
This 328-nucleotide ribosomal RNA is filed under the name uncultured eukaryote. RNAcentral's name for it is "partial 18S ribosomal RNA". It matches the Rfam family "Eukaryotic small subunit ribosomal RNA", at positions 1470 to 1796 of the family's 1831-position model. The record is from RNAcentral.